AAGGUAACGGCUUACCAAGGCGAUGAUNGCAUAGCCGAGUUGAGAGACUGAUCGGCCACAUUGGGACUGAGACACGGCCCAAACUCCUACGGGAGGCAGCAGUAGGGAAUCUUCCACAAUGGACGCAAGUCUGAUGGAGCAACNCCGCGUGAGUGAAGAA
Molecule: ribosomal RNA, 160 nt
Filed under: uncultured bacterium
Lineage: Bacteria
Description: partial 16S ribosomal RNA
Rfam family: Bacterial small subunit ribosomal RNA
Source: RNAcentral